GGGCUAUUAGCUCAGUGGUAGAGCUGCCGUCUCAUAAACGGCUGCGCGUAGGUUCAAUCCCUGCAUAGCCCACCA
Molecule: transfer RNA, 75 nt
Filed under: Lachnospiraceae bacterium
Lineage: Bacteria; Bacillati; Bacillota; Clostridia; Lachnospirales; Lachnospiraceae
Also listed under: 1 other name
Description: tRNA-Ile
Rfam family: tRNA
About the family: Transfer RNA (tRNA) molecules are approximately 80 nucleotides in length.
Source: RNAcentral